CUUCGGUUUCUUUCUUCCUAUCAUAUGUCGUCUUUAUGACUUCUCUCAUGCGGAUUGUAGAUGGACUAGGUCCGAAAUUUCCUUCAUUUGUUAUUUUCGUUUCUCAAUUUGGUCACCACUCACUCGAUGCUUUGUCGGUGACGAUUGUUGAAGGAAUGAUUGGGGGUCAGCUAGGUCGACGACUUUGGAAGUGUCGGAUGAUUCUUUCAGAGCAUAAGAAGGAUUUCAAAGCUAGAAGGUGCAUUUCAUACGAUAAACUUGAUUACAACCCUAAUUUCGCCUCUUCCUUAUUCAAUUCUCAUAUACGAGCAAUGAAAAUCAUCGUUGGGUUAAGCAGAAGAUAAAGGAUCGAGCGAAGUUACUUUCAGUCGGCAAGAGCAGAUGUCGGACUUAUAUUGAAUCUAUAGUUUGAAUUGGUUGGCAGUUGAAACCGAAGAGGGUUUCACCACCACCGCCCACCACCCUAUACGAUGCAACACCCUGCAACAGUAAUAAAUUAAAAACCUUGAUUACACUAUACUUAAAGGAUCAAACAAAACUCAGAGGUACAUAGAAGGAAAAUAGACAACACGUAAGUCUCUCUCGCACUACCGCCAUCAAAAUCUCUUGCUCUCUCCAUCAUCUCCGACAAUAUAUAUAUAUAUAUAUAUAUAUAUAUAUAUAUAUAUAUAUAUAUAUAUAUAUAUAUAUAUAUAUAUAUAUAUAUAUAUAUAUGUAUCCCCUAGGAAGGAUUAAAUGUUAGAUAAACAGAAGCUUUGGCAUGAAGAAGACAACCAUGAAGCUUUGGCAGAAGCUUUGUUGAAAUGGGUCACCAGAAAUGACAGUUGGUUUGGUAGAAAUCACAUGUUAUUGCUAAUUUCAGAUUGUGCAGUGUUUCUGGCUAUUUGAUUUCACUUAUUCUCUUCAUUCUAUAUUCAUAUAUACAUUUGUUAUCUGUGAUGAGGUUUUUGAUUAGUUUUGAAUAUCAUUAUGAUUUGGGCAGUGCAGUAGGAAGACUAAAUUGGUGGAGAUUCAUGCGACACAUCCUAGAUUUCAUGUUAUAUUUAACUUCCUUUAUAACAGGUAAGAGUGGUCGCUCCUUUUUGAUGAUUUUCGAUUACCAAAAGUUAUAAUAGCUUAUACCAUUUUAGGUUCAUUUUUUAAAAUAAGUUUUAGAGAUCAAGUUUGAAAUUUAUGACUGGUUGUGUGUUUUGUGUUUAUGAGCAGAAAUGGAGUAGUUCAUUCCAUAUUAACAAACAAAAGGUUUUCUACAUUCCACAUUUGUAAUCCAUAAUGAUCCAAUACAAUACAAAAUUUGAUAACUUUCACUAACUUAAUGGAUCGAUAAAGAUUUUUCAAUAUAAUGACAGGUAAAUGUUUCGAAGUAGCACGUUGUAGUCGGACACAAUUUAACAGUAAGAUGAUAUAGGAAAAAUGUACAUGAAAGUAUAUUGCUAUUUUCUGGACAACUUAUCACUUGAAAGUUUCUACAGGUCUUAACAAAGUUAUCCUGCAUAGAAGGAUGGAAGUGGCAUUCUUUACGAGAUUGUUAUUGUUUCAGUUCUUUGAGCAUGGAAUGCAUGGACAAAGGAGAGAAUUGACUGGAAAGCUAUCGGGACAUAUUUUGACACUUACUCCUCAAAUGUAUGGCUGUCAAGUUAUUUAAAAGGUAAAGUUUGGUAUGUGGGAAUCACAUAAGGGAUGGAAUAGGACAUUCCGUUUCCAUUACAGAAUUUUGGUUAUUUUUUGUUUAGUAGUUGCUUCUUAAUUUCCGUGACUCCUUCAAGCACUUAAGAUAUUACCCCAAGGACCUGGUGUCCCCCUAUUCUUCACAUGAUUUUUUCCCUUAAUUGUAGUAUGUUUGUAUAGUAAUAUGCCAGCUAUCUGUAGUUUUAUUUUAUUUAUAAUAAUUGAUAUUAUCUUUAUUUGUAA
This is a non-coding RNA of Lactuca sativa (garden lettuce), 1911 nucleotides long. The record is from RefSeq and is a predicted model, not a curated record. NCBI's taxonomy places the organism in Eukaryota, Viridiplantae, Streptophyta, Magnoliopsida, Asterales, Asteraceae.